AUUUUAUUAGUAUAUAAAAGUACAUCUGACUUCCAAUCAGAUAGGUUGUGUCAAGCAAAUAAAAUA
Molecule: transfer RNA, 66 nt
Filed under: Ophiocten ludwigi
Lineage: Eukaryota; Metazoa; Echinodermata; Ophiuroidea; Amphilepidida; Ophiuridae
Description: tRNA-Gly
Source: RNAcentral